GUUUUCUAUGCGUAUGCUAGCUCCAUCCUGGUGUUGCAGUGGACUAGUUCCAUCGAUAGACAACAGAAGAUCAGAGCCCUGUUUCAGAAAGCAGGUUUAAACCUGAACUCUGGGUUGACUAACUCUGAGCUGUCAAACUCAAGAGUUUUCAGUUUCAGAACAGGUGAUAACAAUUAGUUCAAUCAACUCUGAGUUAAGUUAACCCUGAGUAAAGUACGCAUGAGGAGAUAAAAAGCCCUGGUCAAUAGAAUGCAGAUAACAUGAUUCAUCCUGGAAACAGGAGAGAAAAUGGCUCAAACCUCCUACUUCUCCCCAGUGGAGUUACAUAUUAAUGAAUGUGUAUGCGGAAUAUGAGUAUAUAUUUAAGAAAAAAACAAUACAGUAGCAGCAGAAAAAGAAUGUGAGCUGGUGUGGCAGAAAAUUGCUGACCGAGUCAAUGCAUUUGACCUCCAUUAUAGCCAAUACAAAAAAGGCUGAGGGACGAAAAACCGGUGGGGGCCCCCAAUCAGAACAGUAGGUGACCUAUUGCUGAAGGCGUCUCUGGAGGAAGCUCAUCUGACCCAACCACCCCCCAGAAAGGCCUACAUAAAAGAGCAAUUCUGUAAAUUACAAUGAGGAAGAGGGUCCAUCCACCUCCACGGUUCAACUUACCUCACUCCGUGUGAAACCACUGCAAGGUGUACUUAAGAGAAACAAAUUGAAAAAUGAAAUCUAGAAAUUGACCAAGGCUGCAGAAGCAAAAGAUAAAAAUAGAAAUACAACUGCUGGAAAAUCAGUUUUUAUGUUUGAACAACAUAAAAAAGAUUAACUACUGUCCUGCAUUUGUACUUGCAGAAAAUAAAGAAGACUUCAUGAAAA
Molecule: long non-coding RNA, 858 nt
Organism: Oncorhynchus tshawytscha (Chinook salmon)
Lineage: Eukaryota; Metazoa; Chordata; Actinopteri; Salmoniformes; Salmonidae
Source: Ensembl